RNAcentral lists this ribosomal RNA (710 nucleotides) under uncultured bacterium. Its description in RNAcentral is "bacterial SSU rRNA". It matches the Rfam family "Bacterial small subunit ribosomal RNA", at positions 94 to 823 of the family's 1533-position model. The record is from RNAcentral.
AGCGGCGGACGGGUAAGUAACGCGUGGGUAACCUGCCCUGUACACACGGAUAACAUACCGAAAGGUAUGCUAAUACGAGAUAAUAUACUUUUAUCGCAUGGUAGAAGUAUCAAAGCUCCGGCGGUACAGGAUGGACCCGCGUCUGAUUAGCUAGUUAGUAAGGUAACGGCUUACCAAGGCGACGAUCAGUAGCCGACCUGAGAGGGUGAUCGGCCACAUUGGAACUGAGACACGGUCCAAACUCCUACGGGAGGCAGCAGUGGGGAAUAUUGCACAAUGGGCGAAAGCCUGAUGCAGCAACGCCGCGUGAGCGAUGAAGGCCUUCGGGUCGUAAAGCUCUGUCCUCAAGGAAGAUAAUGACGGUACUUGAGGAGGAAGCCCCGGCUAACUACGUGCCAGCAGCCGCGGUAAUACGUAGGGGGCUAGCGUUAUCCGGAAUUACUGGGCGUAAAGGGUGCGUAGGUGGUUUCUUAAGUCAGAGGUGAAAGGCUACGGCUCAACCGUAGUAAGCCUUUGAAACUGGGAAACUUGAGUGCAGGAGAGGAGAGUGGAAUUCCUAGUGUAGCGGUGAAAUGCGUAGAUAUUAGGAGGAACACCAGUUGUGAAGGCGGCUCUCUGGACUGUAACUGACACUGAGGCACGAAAGCGUGGGGAGCAAACAGGAUUAGAUACCCUGGUAGUCCACGCCGUAAACGAUGAGUACUAGCUGU